AAAUUCCGUCGGAAUCUGGGAGGACCAUCUCCUAAGGCUAAAUACUCUCUAGUGACCGAUAGUGAACCAGUACCGUGAGGGAAAGGUGAAAAGCACCCCGGAAGGGGAGUGAAAUUGAACCUGAAACCGUGUGCUUACAAGUAGUCAGAGCCCGUUAAUGGGUGAUGGCGUGCCUUUUGUAGAAUGAACCGGCGAGUUACGAUUUGAUGCAAGGUUAAGCAGUAAAUGUGGAGCCGUAGCGAAAGCGAGUCUGAAUAGGGCGUUUAGUAUUUGGUCGUAGACCCGAAACCAGGUGAUCUACCCUUGGUCAGGUUGAAGUUCAGGUAACACUGAAUGGAGGACCGAACCGACUUACGUUGAAAAGUGAGCGGAUGAACUGAGGGUAGCGGAGAAAUUCCAAUCGAACCUGGAGAUAGCUGGUUCUCUCCGAAAUAGCUUUAGGGCUAGCCUCAAGUGAUGAUUAUUGGAGGUAGAGCACUGUUUGGACGAGGGGCCCCUCUCGGGUUACCGAAUUCAGACAAACUCCGAAUGCCAAUUAAUUUAACUUGGGAGUCAGAACAUGGGUGAUAAGGUCCGUGUUCGAAAGGGAAACAGCCCAGACCACCAGCUAAGGUCCCAAAAUAUAUGUUAAGUGGAAAAGGAUGUGGCGUUGCCCAGACAACUAGGAUGUUGGCUUAGAAGCAGCCAUCAUUUAAAGAGUGCGUAAUAGCUCACUAGUCGAGUGACACUGCGCCGAAAAUGUACCGGGGCUAAACAUAUUACCGAAGCUGUGGAUUGUCCUUUGGACAAUGGUAGGAGAGCGUUCUAAGGGCGUUGAAGCAUGAUCGUAAGGACAUGUGGAGCGCUUAGAAGUGAGAAUGCCGGUGUGAGUAGCGAAAGACGGGUGAGAAUCCCGUCCACCGAUUGACUAAGGUUUCCAGAGGAAGGCUCGUCCGCUCUGGGUUAGUCGGGUCCUAAGCUGAGGCCGACAGGCGUAGGCGAUGGAUAACAGGUUGAUAUUCCUGUACCACCUAUAAUCGUUUUAAUCGAUGGGGGGACGCAGUAGGAUAGGCGAAGCGUGCGAUUGGAUUGCACGUCUAAGCAGUAAGGCUGAGUAUUAGGCAAAUCCGGUACUCGUUAAGGCUGAGCUGUGAUGGGGAGAAGACAUUGUGUCUUCGAGUCGU
Molecule: ribosomal RNA, 1163 nt
Filed under: Staphylococcus aureus
Lineage: Bacteria; Bacillati; Bacillota; Bacilli; Caryophanales; Staphylococcaceae
Description: bacterial LSU rRNA
Rfam family: Bacterial large subunit ribosomal RNA
Source: RNAcentral